GCAGAGGUGCCGGAGUGGUCAAACGGGAUGGGUUUAGGUCCCAUUGGCUUAGUGCCUACGCAGGUUCGAGUCCUGUCCUCUGCA
Molecule: transfer RNA, 84 nt
Filed under: Candidatus Woesearchaeota archaeon
Lineage: Archaea; Nanobdellati; Candidatus Woesearchaeota
Description: tRNA-Leu
Rfam family: tRNA
About the family: Transfer RNA (tRNA) molecules are approximately 80 nucleotides in length.
Source: RNAcentral